GCAAACUUGGUCAUUUAGAGGAAGUAAAAGUCGUAACAAGGUUUCCGUAGGUGAACCUGCGGAAGGAUCAUUAACAAAUUGUUAUUCAUAUUCACCUUGUGUGCAAUUUUGCAUAAAAGUUAAUAAUGCUCUUUGGAAAAAUUAUUUUUAUCAUAAUUCUUCCAAAAAGGUUAUUAUAAUCAAUCUAUUUUUUCUUUUCUAUAUUAUGUCUAAAACUAUAUAUCUAAAAUGAAAAAUAACUUUCAACAACGGAUCUCUUGGCUCUCGCAUCGAUGAAGAACGCAGC
This 286-nucleotide unclassified non-coding RNA is filed under the name uncultured fungus. RNAcentral describes it as "partial contains small subunit ribosomal RNA, internal transcribed spacer 1, and 5.8S ribosomal RNA". The stretch from base 1 to 73 matches the Rfam family "Eukaryotic small subunit ribosomal RNA", at positions 1759 to 1831 of the family's 1831-position model. The record is from RNAcentral. Lineage: Eukaryota; Fungi.